Pseudophryne corroboree (corroboree frog) is the source of this 199-nucleotide long non-coding RNA. RefSeq lists it as uncharacterized. Lineage: Eukaryota; Metazoa; Chordata; Amphibia; Anura; Myobatrachidae. The transcript is spliced from 3 exons. The record is from RefSeq and is a predicted model, not a curated record.
AGGAGUGAAGAGGAAGCUGGAUGCCGGACCACGCCUUGCCAGGGAUAAAACAGGCUGUCCCUGUGCCAAAAGAAGGCGAUUAUAAGAGGCGCGGGCCCCCAAGGCAGCAACUUCCAGAGCAGAUAAGACCAGCGGAAGCGUGAACACCUUGCCUUGGGGAGAAUACCACCUGUACCAGCUGCCUGCCCUCAGAUCAUAU